UACGUAGGGGGCAAGCGUUGUCCGGAAUCAUUGGGCGUAAAGCGCGCGUAGGCGGCCCGGUCAGUCCGCUCUGAAAGUCCAGGGCUCAACCCUGGAAUGCGGGUGGAUACUGCCGGGCUAGAGUCCGGAAGAGGCGAGUGGAAUUCCUGGUGUAGCGGUGGAAUGCGCAGAUAUCAGGAGGAACACCGAUAGCGAAAGCACUCUGCUGGGCCGACACUGACACUGAGAGACGAAAGCUAGGGGAGCAAAUGGG
Molecule: ribosomal RNA, 253 nt
Filed under: uncultured bacterium
Lineage: Bacteria
Description: partial 16S ribosomal RNA
Rfam family: Bacterial small subunit ribosomal RNA
Source: RNAcentral